Non-coding RNA from Salmo salar (Atlantic salmon), 491 nucleotides. The record is from RefSeq and is a predicted model, not a curated record. NCBI's taxonomy places the organism in Eukaryota, Metazoa, Chordata, Actinopteri, Salmoniformes, Salmonidae.
AUUUGUGCACAAUUCCUACUUAAACGCAAAAGGCACUCAUUUCGUGGAAUUAUCCAGCUACUAUGUACAGAGGGUAGAACAGCAAGUAUCUACUAGGUACAGAGGGUAGAACAGCAACUAUCUACUAGGUACAGAGGGUAGAACAGCAAGUAUCUACUAUGUACAGAGGGUAGAACAGCAAGUAUCUACUAGGUACAGAGGGUAGAACAGCAAGUAUCUACUAGGUACAGAGGGUAGAACAGCAAGUAUCUACUAGGUACAGAGGGUAGAACAGCAAGUAUCUACUAGGUACAGAGGGUAGAACAGCAAGUAUCUACUAUGUACAGAGGGUAGAACAGCAAGUAUCUACUAGGUACAGAGGGUAGAACAGCAAGUAUCUACUAGGUACAGAGGGUAGAACAGCAAGUAUCUACUAGGUACAGAGGGUAGAACAGCAAGUAUCUACUAGGUACAGAGGGUAGAACAGCAAGUAUCUACUAGGUACAGAGGGU